UAGGCAGACCAAGGAGUUCAUCUUCUCAGAGC
RNAcentral lists this non-coding RNA (32 nucleotides) under Homo sapiens (human). The record is from RNAcentral. Lineage: Eukaryota; Metazoa; Chordata; Mammalia; Primates; Hominidae.